GAGGAGAAAGGAGGAGAAAAGUAGAGAAAGGAGGAGAAAGGAGGAGAAAGGAGGGACGGAUGGGUCUGUCUCCUUCGUCACCUUCCUCGGAAUGUUCCUCACUCAAGCCUUUGGAGCACCAACGGAGCUCGACAGACACAGCGGUCCAGCUGCGGGACACGUCUCUGAAUAAACUGCCUGAGACGUACCCCACCCCUCACGCCAAACCACCCAAAUGAGUAAAAAAUAAUAAACAUUGCAUCCCGCACAUCCAGAUCCAGAAAAGAGAAUCACAGGUGGAAGGCAUCACAGUGAGUCAUCUGCUCCAACGUGCCUGGCACAGGAUUGUGUCCAGAUGGUUCUUUAAUAUCUUCAAUGAGGAAGACUCCACACCCUCUCUGGACAACCCGUUCAGUGCACGGUGUGCAACACAACUGUAUAAAGUACUUUUUGGGGUUGGGUUUUUGGGGAUUUUUUGUUUUUUAAAUGCUAACCCAUCUUUUUUAAAGCUCUGUCUCGCCGCCGGUCCUGGGACAGUGGAGGCCCCAAAUCACGGCACCCUCAGUGAGGCCCCGCUCGCUGCCCUGCGCAGCGCACGCGGCAGCACCAGCCAGAGCAGCGUGUGCCUUCCCUGCUAAAAUACAGCCCAGAUACAGCAUUUAGUGACUACAACAUCACCAAGGACAGCAGAGAACUUUCCAUGUUUUAUUUUUAUCUUUUCAUUUAUCACAGUACAAUAACGUAAGUUAACAACAAAAAAAAAAAAAUCUAGUGCCAAUUUCCACGGUGUCAAGUGCUCCACUCCAAACCAGGAAUGUCCAUUAGAAGUCAAAGUGUUGCUCCAGGCUUACAGCGACAUUACCUUCCAGAGGACUUGGUCAUGGAGGAUGCCACUAUAAUUUUGUGCUGUUUCCAGAGAGCAACCCAUCCCAUGGCUCCAGACUCCACAUUUCCCUGAGUUGGGUUUGGUUCAUCUCACACCAGCCCAGGGGAUCUGGGAGAGAAAACGGGCCAAGAGCAUGUGCAAUUCAAUUUCCAUUUUGAUAAAAGACAAAUCCUGUGGUACAUUUUGCCAGGAUGGCAAGUCCAAGGUGUGUAAACACAGCCAGAGCAACACAGCAACUGGAGGAAGACGAUGGGAUAAGUGCAACUACGGCAAAAGGGAGGAACUUCUGUUUUGACAUGAUCAUAGCAGAUUGCUGGGCUGAGGAAACGAUUCGGUAGCAAAACAGGUAUCACAAUACACCUGGACUACAGAAUCAGCUUAAGCUUGAUUAUUUAUAACUACAAAUUCUGAAGAAUAUUUAAAAUUGCCUCUUCCUUCCCUUCCUUCCACGAUUGCAGUCUGCUGCACUUUUGAAAAGCACAGACAUUUGCUUUUACUGAAUUUAAGGCUAUUAUGACAAAAAAAUGUUUACGACCCCCCUCUCCAAAACCAAAUAUAAAAGUCAAUUCACUCUAGAAUGUCUUGGAUAACUCUAAAUACAACCAUCUGUUUUCCAAAACAAAUCAACUCAUUCUAAUAUUUGGAAGACAAAACAAUUUAAACUGC
RNAcentral lists this long non-coding RNA (1531 nucleotides) under Ficedula albicollis (Collared flycatcher). RNAcentral describes it as "lncRNA (ENSFALG00000028065.1)". The record is from RNAcentral. Lineage: Eukaryota; Metazoa; Chordata; Aves; Passeriformes; Muscicapidae.